GGUGCGAUAGCCAAGUGGCCCAAGGCGGCGGUCUGCAAAACCGCUAUUCGUGGGUUCGAAUCCCACUCGCACCU
RNAcentral lists this transfer RNA (74 nucleotides) under Elusimicrobiota bacterium. RNAcentral's name for it is "Elusimicrobia bacterium (groundwater metagenome) tRNA-Cys". It matches the Rfam family "tRNA". Rfam says of the family: Transfer RNA (tRNA) molecules are approximately 80 nucleotides in length. Lineage: Bacteria; Pseudomonadati; Elusimicrobiota. The record is from RNAcentral.